This 113-nucleotide non-coding RNA is filed under the name Compsopogon caeruleus. The record is from RNAcentral. Lineage: Eukaryota; Rhodophyta; Compsopogonophyceae; Compsopogonales; Compsopogonaceae.
GAACGCGGAAAAAGCCAAAGCCUUUUGGGACACGAACGAGCCAUGGGACGGAAGGUUACCUUUGUGUGGUCUAGCUUACAACGUCCCAAUCCAUGCCGGACGUUGCCAUGCAG